CGGGAAUUCGAUUAGAGUUUGAUCCUGGCUCAGAGUGAACGCUGGCGGUAGGCCUAACACAUGCAAGUCGGACGGCAGCACAGUAAGAGCUUGCUCUUAUGGGUGGCGAGUGGCGGACGGGUGAGGAAUACAUCGGAAUCUACUUUUUCGUGGGGGAUAACGUAGGGAAACUUACGCUAAUACCGCAUACGACCUACGGGUGAAAGCAGGGGAUCUUCGGACCUUGCGCGAUUGAAUGAGCCGAUGUCGGAUUAGCUAGUUGGCGGGGUAAAGGCCCACCAAGGCGACGAUCCGUAGCUGGUCUGAGAGGAUGAUCAGCCACACUGGAACUGAGACACGGUCCAGACUCCUACGGGAGGCAGCA
Molecule: ribosomal RNA, 364 nt
Filed under: uncultured Stenotrophomonas sp.
Lineage: Bacteria; Pseudomonadati; Pseudomonadota; Gammaproteobacteria; Lysobacterales; Lysobacteraceae
Description: bacterial SSU rRNA
Rfam family: Bacterial small subunit ribosomal RNA
Source: RNAcentral